CUACAUCACGUAGAAACCCCAGUUUUCAUAUGAUUAUCGAAGUUAAGCAACGUUGAGCUUAGCCAGUAUUUAAAUGGGUGACCGCUUGGCAAUACCAGGUGCUGUAA
Molecule: non-coding RNA, 107 nt
Organism: Acanthosepion pharaonis
Lineage: Eukaryota; Metazoa; Mollusca; Cephalopoda; Sepiida; Sepiidae
Source: the annotation of a GenBank genome assembly